CUGUUCACUUAGGCAGCACAUAUACUAAAAUUUGAAUGAUACAGAGAAGAUUAGCAUGGCCCCUAUACAAAGAUGACAUACAAAUUCAUGAAGUAUAUCAUAUUUUU
This is a small nuclear RNA of Cavia aperea (Brazilian guinea pig), 107 nucleotides long. NCBI's taxonomy places the organism in Eukaryota, Metazoa, Chordata, Mammalia, Rodentia, Caviidae. The record is from Ensembl.